Molecule: long non-coding RNA, 1265 nt
Organism: Gallus gallus (chicken)
Lineage: Eukaryota; Metazoa; Chordata; Aves; Galliformes; Phasianidae
Source: Ensembl
AAUAGGGGUGGUGAGGCACUGAAAUAGGUUGCUCAGAGAGCUGGUGGAUGCCCUGUCCUUGGAGACACCCAAGGUCAGGCUGGAUGGGGCUCUGAGCACCUGAUGGAGCUGUAGUGACUGCCAUGAGCAGCUCCUUCCCAGCACUCUCAUGAUGAUUGCAUGGUGGGAUUCACUCAGUAAUUUUCUUAUCAAGUGCCUUUAGAUUACAGAAAGCUCUUUCUUGUCCCAAAUUCUAGGCUUGUUUCUUCAUUUUGUAGAAAGACCUCAGCACCUGAAGGUCCUGAUAGCAAUUUCAAGCCCUCAUUGAUGCCACUGUAGCAUCAAGAUGUGCUUGCCGCGCAUCUUCAAGCCCUGACAAUACUUCUAGAUUGCUUAAGUGCUAAUAGUGUCAUGGAGCUCGUUUGCACCUUUCUCCAUCAGUUCCUUGUGUGCAUUUGCAGUUUUUCUGUGAACUGGGUGGUAGAGCUCAAGGAUGAAGAACCAGAGCUGAUGUCAAGCAAACAGCUGGUCCUCCAGCAUCUCACCAUCCUGCCUCCUGCCGAAGCUCAUGUCAACAUGUUCUGCUUUGGAAGCUGCAUUGUGGUUCCAUUUGACAAGGAGUACAAAACAUGCUGAGUACUUUAUGAAGAAAAUAACUGAAAAGAGGAGGAGGAGGGGCAGAUUGAAAAUGAAAUGUGCACUGGUCCUUGUGGUGGCAGCAACUUAGGGCACAUGGGCCCUUCUAACUUGGGAUGCUCUGUCUGGUCCACGAGCCAUAUUGGGUGGAGCUGCAUGUAGACAUGGGAAUGCACAGAACUCCUCAUCUCCUGCUGCCACUGCUUCAGGCAUGUUUCCAGCCACAGACAGGGAAGACCAAGCUCACUGCACCAAGCAAACGAGAAGAAAAAGAUUAAUAGCAUCACUCUCCAGGAAAAACUUCAUCUUCCUGUCCUCAUCUUGCCCUAUGGAGCAUGUUAUCAACUCAAGAAACUCCCAAUAGGAGAGAAAGCAAGUUCACACCCAGCUCUCUGCAGCCCCAGGCUGGAAGAUAGCUCUGCUCAGAGAAUCAUUGAAAAGGCAGCAGAAAUAAAUUUCCCUCCCUGAGCUUUUCAGAGCACAAAAGAUGUGCUUAAACAUGCUGGGAGGUGGCAAUUUGCAAAACAAACAAACAAAAAAAAAAACAAACCAAAAGAUGUUCAUUUUAAUAUCAGCUUGUUUAAAAAUCAGCCUGAAUGCUUUCUUAUUUAACUUUUAAGAAUAAAGAGAAAGGAUCAAGAUGGGACGCC